UCGCACCUUCGCCUCCCCAACAGUCCUCCGACUCCCGUUUUCCGCAAGGAAUGUCUUCAGACCCCACCAUCCGGUCUUGAACCCGCGCAACACGUCGCAAGCUCGGGAUCAUGGAGAUCUGACGGGUUUGACGCGGUUGGAUCGUUGCGCGAGGGCAGCCAGCUGGCCUGGUUUGCAGGGCCGCCUGGAGGGAAUGUGGUUUCGGAACUUAACCCUAAGCUCACUUUUGGUUUGAGUCUUGCGCUCACAGUCGCCUGGAUCUCCUUUUAAACUGCUCGAUCGUUUUGCAGAGCUGUGUCCUGCUGAAAAGCAGAGUGCGGCUAGCUGGCCUUGAGUGGUGGAAGGGUGGUGGGCAUUCCAGACGUCAUCAGGCGGGCGAGGGCGCUUGCUAUGAGUCUAAUGGUAAGAACUCCUGGUCUGGGGUCACUCGUCAGCAAUGUGCCGCUGGAAGUUGUACUUCUGGUCAUCUGGGUCGUCUUGGUGAUGGUGACCAACCUGAUUGGGUGGAAGAUACGUGUUCAACAUUACUUCGUUCUUAGAGGAGGGAGUGCCUUAACAGGCUACUUCGCUGCACUUGGGACUAAGAGGGAGAGCGUGGUACUGGUUACGUACAGUCAGAUCAACAUCACUUCACGCUUCUGCCUUUGACCUGAUUCGCCAGAAUCAUCUGUUCCCCCUCGGUCGGAUGAGCGAUGGUCGUAUGGCUACAACAGAAGUGCGACUAGUUCUGAUCCCUUUUCGCCAUGCCACAUGCUCUCGGUACCCUCAGGUCCUAGUCACAAUCAAGAACUUUUCAGCUGUUGGCGUGAAACGCGACUUUGCUCCCAGCGAAGUCGUCGCGCAUCCAAUCCUUCCAUCAGGCGUCUAUACUCCCAGGACCACGUCUCGGCAUCGCCUAAUGACGUGUCACUUCUGUGUGAUCCGGCCAGGCGCAUUAGCCACCAGCUGUGGAUCAUAUCCGUCGGUAAUGGUGGACGCCAAAGCCUUCGUUGGUCGUUCUAAAUGAGCGGUCGAUGAAGUUGCCUCAAAUCGGCCUUCGGACUGUUCAGAGAUGAUAGCAUGGCUUUUACGGACGUUUUUGGCCAUGCGGAAUGCCCUCCUUGCCGCUCUUACAAGCUCGACGGAGAGGAAUCAAAAACAAGUCCUUGUUGGCAGUGCGCUAAACAGAAAGAGCUUCAUUUUGACUUGGUAGCAGAGCAUAUGUUUGGUGUUCGCCGAUUUUGGUAGUGGACUUGUCGAGGAUGGUGCUGGUUAGAUGGGGGAAUCGUGCUUGGUUCGCUGGACCAUUGUUGGUUUGCACGCUUGGUUUGUUGUGUAAGGCAUGAAGCAAGGCCGGGACCCAUCUUGAGUUGGUGUCAAAGUUUAGGCUUGUCCGGACUUGUGGACUGUCUUGGAUGACGACUGGCAAACUGCAAUUUUUUGUUCUUGUACAUCUGGACAGGCCUUUGCUGAGGUAGUCCUAGGCUGUUCUCUCCACAGGUUGGCAGAGGGCAGUCCCCUUUUUUAG
RNAcentral lists this telomerase RNA (1507 nucleotides) under Pseudomassariella vexata. RNAcentral's name for it is "Ascomycota telomerase RNA". It matches the Rfam family "Ascomycota telomerase RNA", at positions 208 to 1855 of the family's 1858-position model. The record is from Rfam by way of RNAcentral. Lineage: Eukaryota; Fungi; Ascomycota; Sordariomycetes; Amphisphaeriales; Pseudomassariaceae.